This 1099-nucleotide long non-coding RNA is filed under the name Marmota monax (woodchuck). The record is from RNAcentral. Lineage: Eukaryota; Metazoa; Chordata; Mammalia; Rodentia; Sciuridae.
GUAAAUGUGAAAGACUAGGUGUUCUUUCUGCAGCAUGCCUGUCCUAAAAGAAUGUGGUGUGCCAAACUGAUACCUCCAGUUAUCGGGCUUCCCUGAAUGCUGAAGUGUAACAGGAGAGAAGCACCCGAGGCAAGCAUAGAGUAGAAAACAAGCAGCUUUAUUUAAAGGAUAGAACAGACUUCUUCCCUGAGGAAGAAGGGGACCCAAAAACUAGAAUCCAUGGGAUGAGGAAGACCCAUCCCUUUUAUACAUGUAAAGUUUCUUUGUUCUUUUAUGUUCUUCUCCCUUGUUCACUUCCCUUCAUCCUGUAUAUGUGACUGGGAGAUGCAGGUAGGAAAGCCAAGAGAUGGGAAACAGGUGGGCUGAAGGAGCCAGGGAGAAGUGAUCUGGGCAGGAAGGGGGGCCCAGGUGAGUUAAUUAGCAGCUCCCUGUCUGCUCAGGGGUUGCUUUAUUAACAAUUCUUUAGGAAGGCAGUAUUGGGCAGGUAUUUGGGACACUAACAUUUCAAUCUCCCACAGCAGAGUCUUCAACCUUUUGGACCCAAACCGGUUUGCUGUUUUUCUCAACUUGGCCCGAUUUAUGUAUCUACACUGACUACCUGUUUUUAAUUCUGGCAUCAAAACUAUGAUGUCUCUCCACAAGCAGGUGAGUGAUUGAUUAUAUGUCGGAAAACUGGAUAUAUACUUUGAUUUUUAUUAUCGUAUUAUGAGAAUCAAAGAUUCUCCCCAUUAAAAUAAAUAAGUAGAAAUAGGGAUGGCAUGUAAUUAUAUACAAGCCACUAAUUUAAGCAUAUUUUAUGAAUACACUAGGAAGGCCAUAAUUGAUGCUAAUAUUAAUUUGAACUUGAUGACUAUUCUAGUGGUUUUGAAAGAUUUAAUGAUAUCAGCCCAGUUCUUAAGUACAAGAUUUUGUCCAACUUUAGCUAUAACCUGUAUGGGAAAAUACCAAAUAUGUGUUCUAAGAUUUUGUAUUCUUGAUAUCAGGGAAGAAAAGACAUCUUCCUUUAACCUCUCCCAUUCAUAUACUUUCCAAUCUUAGGUAUAUUUUGUAAAAGUUUUAUAUAUUGUCUCCCAAGGAGGAGAUGAGUAUACAGUUGCCA